RNAcentral lists this ribosomal RNA (298 nucleotides) under uncultured Entrophosporaceae. Its description in RNAcentral is "uncultured Claroideoglomeraceae partial small subunit ribosomal RNA". It matches the Rfam family "Eukaryotic small subunit ribosomal RNA", at positions 569 to 865 of the family's 1831-position model. The record is from RNAcentral. Lineage: Eukaryota; Fungi; Glomeromycota; Glomeromycetes; Entrophosporales; Entrophosporaceae.
AGCAGCCGCGGUAAUUCCAGCUCCAAUAGCGUAUAUUAAAGUUGUUGCAGUUAAAAAGCUCGUAGUUGAAUUUCGGGAUUGGCGUGUCGGUCGUGCCUUAAGGGGUAUGAACUGGCGUCGUCGAUUUCUCACCUUCUGGAGAAACACGAUGCCCUUAAUUGGGUGUCGUGCGGAACCAGGACCUUUACCUUGAAAAAAUUAGAGUGUUUAAAGCAGGCAUUUUUGCUCGAAUACAUUAGCAUGGAAUAAUAAAAUAGGACGGUUGGUUCUAUUUUGUUGGUUUCUAGGAUCACCGUAA